AUUGAACGCUGGCGGAAUGCUUUACACAUGCAAGUCGAACGGUAGAGGGGGCAACCCCUCGAGAGUGGCGAACGGGUGAGUAAUAUAUCGGAACGUACCCAGUCGUGGGGGAUAACGUAGCGAAAGUUACGCUAAUACCGCAUACGAUCUAAGGAUGAAAGCGGGGGAUCGCAAGACCUCGCGCGAUUGGAGCGGCGGAUAUCAGAUUAGGUAGUUGGUGGGGUAACGGCUCACCAAGCCAACGAGCGGUAGCUGGUCUGAGAGGACGACCAGCCACACUGGAACUGAGACACGGUCCAGACUCCUACGGGAGGCAGCAGUUGGGAAUUUUGGACAAUGGACGCAAGUCUUAUCCAGCCAUUCCUCGUGCAGGAUGAAGGCCCUCGGGUUGUAAACUGCGUUUGUACUGAACGAAAAGGUCUCUCUUAAUACGGGGGGCUCAUGACGGUACCGUAAGAAUAAGCACCGGCUAACUACGUGCCAGCCGCCGCCGUAA
Molecule: ribosomal RNA, 496 nt
Filed under: uncultured bacterium
Lineage: Bacteria
Description: partial 16S ribosomal RNA
Rfam family: Bacterial small subunit ribosomal RNA
Source: RNAcentral